Molecule: ribosomal RNA, 465 nt
Filed under: uncultured Neisseriaceae bacterium
Lineage: Bacteria; Pseudomonadati; Pseudomonadota; Betaproteobacteria; Neisseriales; Neisseriaceae
Description: bacterial SSU rRNA
Rfam family: Bacterial small subunit ribosomal RNA
Source: RNAcentral
CCUACGGGAGGCAGCAGUGGGGAAUUUUGGACAAUGGGGGCAACCCUGAUCCAGCCAUGCCGCGUGUCUGAAGAAGGCCUUCGGGUUGUAAAGGACUUUUGUUAGGGAAGAAAAGGGAAGUGCUAAUACCACUUUUUGCUGACGGUACCUAAAGAAUAAGCACCGGCUAACUACGUGCCAGCAGCCGCGGUAAUACGUAGGGUGCGAGCGUUAAUCGGAAUUACUGGGCGUAAAGCGAGCGCAGACGGUUAUUUAAGUCAGAUGUGAAAUCCCCGAGCUUAACUUGGGAACUGCGUUUGAAACUGGGUAACUAGAGUAUGUCAGAGGGGGGUAGAAUUCCACGUGUAGCAGUGAAAUGCGUAGAGAUGUGGAGGAAUACCGAUGGCGAAGGCAGCCCCCUGGGAUAAUACUGACGUUCAUGCUCGAAAGCGUGGGUAGCAAACAGGAUUAGAUACCCUAGUAGUC